Molecule: ribosomal RNA, 454 nt
Filed under: Streptococcus mutans
Lineage: Bacteria; Bacillati; Bacillota; Bacilli; Lactobacillales; Streptococcaceae
Description: bacterial SSU rRNA
Rfam family: Bacterial small subunit ribosomal RNA
Source: RNAcentral
GACGAACGCUGGCGGCGUGCCUAAUACAUGCAAGUGGGACGCAAGGGAACACACUGUGCUUGCACACCGUGUUUUCUUGAGUCGCGAACGGGUGAGUAACGCGUAGGUAACCUGCCUAUUAGCGGGGGAUAACUAUUGGAAACGAUAGCUAAUACCGCAUAAUAUUAAUUAUUGCAUGAUAAUUGUUGAAAGAUGCAAGCGCAUCACUAGUAGAUGGACCUGCGUUGUACUAGCUAGUUGGUAAGGUAAGAGCUUACCAAGGCGACGAUACAUAGCCGACCUGAGAGGGUGGCCGGCCACACUGGGACUGAGACACGGCCCAGACUCCUACGGGAGGCAGCAGUAGGGAAUCUUCGGCAAUGGACGAAAGUCUGGCCGAGCAACGCCGCGUGAGUGAAGAAGGUUUUCGGAUCGUAAAGCUCUGUUGUAAGUCAAGAACGUGUGUGAGAGUGUU